This is a non-coding RNA of Oryctolagus cuniculus (rabbit), 1004 nucleotides long. NCBI's taxonomy places the organism in Eukaryota, Metazoa, Chordata, Mammalia, Lagomorpha, Leporidae. The record is from RefSeq and is a predicted model, not a curated record.
CGCGUUCUGACGGUGCCAAGUACUUCUGGAAGACAAAGCGCCGCUCCAACUCCAGCACCUGCUGCGUGGUGAACGCCGUGCGUGACUUGCGCCGUUUUCGGCCGGCGAGCCGAGGUCCCAGUGCAUCCGGGGCGGCCCUGCCUUGUCGCGAUUGCCCCGCCUACAGCGAACCGACCAAAGGGUCCCUGAAUUCUCGCCAGCCCUGCCCAUCCCUGUGGCGCUACCUGCCUCCUGGAGCCGCCGCGAAGCCACUGCAGUAACGGGAGAGAGGGUGAAGACGCGCGGAGAGAAGCCGGUGCAACUACCCACUGGACCCGGGCCGCCCGGCUGGUCCGCGCUGCAAGACACCGCCCCAGGCACGCUGAAGCCGAACUCGUCCCCUCCAGACUGAGUGCCUGAGACCCCCUGCCUAGCUGCCGCUCUGGAUCAUAAACUCAACAGCUAUGAAAUUGCUUUCCUUGGCCCCAGUGCUGGCGAUUUGCAAAGUUCCCAGUAGUAUCUGGGUUGAUUGUACUAGGAUCCCUGGUCCCAUUUAGGAAGGACAUCAGUCUCCCAACCUGGCCCUCUGAGCCUGGAAACCCCUUGCAAAAUGCUCCCAAGGUUGCCCAGGCACCUGGAAGUGAUUAACACACCAAAGAGGUCCCCAGCGUGGGACUCGGUGGAGCGUGGGGAUGCCACAGGAAGCAAGUACAGUUCAUGUAUGGUUUCUUGACCCUGUGGAGGCUCAGAAACAGCCAAGAGGAACAAGAGGCUGGGCCAGCGUGGAGCCAAUCCCCAUAAAAGACGACUUGAAAGGCAGACUUCUUGGACGCUGCCAGACCAUGGGACAGAUACCCCUGCCAGCCCAGACACAAACUCAUUCCUGUUUGAUCACUGUCCUGUCUUCCUUCUCUCCCACACCUAUUCUGGUCCUGGGCUCAAGUGGGGUGAGCUACCCCCACAGCUCUGGGAUAGCAAGGCCCUGCAAGGGGAGGCCCAGCAAAACAUGAAGUUUUUUCUGUUGA